AGAAGUAGUUCAAUGGUAGAACGUAACACUGAUAAGGUUAAAAUAGGGGUUCGAUUCCUCUCUUCU
This 66-nucleotide transfer RNA is filed under the name human gut metagenome. It matches the Rfam family "tRNA". Rfam says of the family: Transfer RNA (tRNA) molecules are approximately 80 nucleotides in length. Their secondary structure includes four short double-helical elements and three loops (D, anti-codon, and T loops). RNAcentral also lists the same sequence under 1 other name. The record is from RNAcentral.